AUACGUAGGGGGCAAGCGUUAUCCGGAAUUACUGGGUGUAAAGGGAGAGUAGGCGGCAUGAUAAGUUAGAUGUGAAAGCCUUGGGCUUAACCCGAGGAUUGCAUUUAAAACUAUCAAGCUAGAGUACAGGAGAGGUAAGUGGAAUUCCUAGUGUAGCGGUGAAAUGCGUAGAUAUUAGGAAGAACACCAGCGGCGAAGGCGACUUUCUGGACUGUGUCUGACACUGAGGCGCGAAAGCCAGGGGAGC
This 247-nucleotide ribosomal RNA is filed under the name uncultured bacterium. RNAcentral's name for it is "partial 16S ribosomal RNA". It matches the Rfam family "Bacterial small subunit ribosomal RNA", at positions 523 to 769 of the family's 1533-position model. The record is from RNAcentral.